ACCUCGCAGGCAGCGCGUUUACGUCAGAGCGCCCGAGUCCACGGACCUCGCAGGCAGCGCGUUUACGUCAGAGCUCCCGAGUCCACGCACCUCGCAGGCAGUACGUUUACCUCAGAGCUCCCGAGUCCACCGACCUCGCAGGCAGCGCGUUUACGUCAGAGCUCCCGAGUCCACGCACCUCGCAGGCAGUGUAUUUACAUGGAAAUUGGAUCGAGGCACUGACGUUUAAAUCUUGGCUCCUGCUCCUGCCGUCUAGACAAAGGGCGCACCCAUUGCCGUCUCAGACACCAGAGGCUCCCACUUGACCAGGGGAAGCUGUUCAUGUUCUAUCCUGCGUGUUCUCGAGAAAGUUUUGAUGACAGAAAACAUCACACAGAAAGGGGAAGGCAUCGCAAGUUUCCAGCUCCAUGGAUUUUUGCAAACUGAGCACAUUUGUGGGCCAGGAGUGGGGCCCACAGCGAGAAUAUCCUUCCUGCUGCUCCUGCCAUCCAUCCACCAGCACAGCCAGUUCCCAGCUGUGGAACACACAGAGCUGUGCACUGUUGAGUUGAUCACGAUGAGAACAGUGAGUGUCUCUCACCUGUGGCUGCACUUGCUGGAAGCACCGCCUGCUCUGGCCUCUUUGCUCCAGAACAUUCCCUGCUGAACAGUGACACCAGGGAAGGCCAAGGAUGGGCACACAAGGCUCAGUCCUUCACCUGAUGGCGGCUUGGCCAUGUUCAUCUUUCCCUUUUCUCAAAGACCUGUGUGGGGCCAGAGAAAGCUGGGGUUUCCGGUGGCCUGCAGUGUGGCAGAAAGCAGAGCCUUCCACUGGGAAAAGGGGAAAAAGGGAAUUCUUCCGAAGAGAAGGAUGAAGCCAGCAGCAGGGGUCCCGGCAGGCCUGACCCCCAUGGAGCUGAUGAGGCCGAGUGUCAGGAAGCACUCCCAUUGUCCUCGAAAACAGACACAGGUCAACCUGCGUUACGGGGUCUGCGAGGUCAUCAGAUAACCCCACAGUGUCGAAUACUGUAACUACAUGCCUGCCUAAGAUGACCUGGUAUACUGUAGGUGCACACAAGAUUCUCCAUAGUGAAAGUACAUAUACAAUUGUUGCUAAUUUUUGAUCCUAGAAAAUCCACUGGAUUGAUACUUUAGAAGAGGAUAAUGGAUAAAAUCAAUCGAUCGGAAAAUUCAAAUAUUUAGAAAAUACUAGUUUCAAUCUACUGUAAAAAUAUCAUAAAUUUGUACUGAACUAUUUUUCCUUAUUACAAAAAUAUUCGAGCAAUAAAAAUGUCGGAUAUUA
This 1282-nucleotide long non-coding RNA is filed under the name Homo sapiens (human). Its description in RNAcentral is "non-protein coding LINC01115:3". The record is from RNAcentral. Lineage: Eukaryota; Metazoa; Chordata; Mammalia; Primates; Hominidae.